This is a long non-coding RNA of Lemur catta (Ring-tailed lemur), 764 nucleotides long. RefSeq lists it as uncharacterized. The transcript has 6 exons. NCBI's taxonomy places the organism in Eukaryota, Metazoa, Chordata, Mammalia, Primates, Lemuridae. The record is from RefSeq and is a predicted model, not a curated record.
UAAAGCCAACAUUAUAAUUCUUGGACGUAUCCAGAGACGCGCGUGGUCCUCUCUCCUGGACAGCCCUUGCAUGACAGUGGUAGAGAGGAGAUACAAAGAGCUGAGCAAGGAGGACGGGUCCCAGAUGCCCAGGAACACUGAAGACAGGGACUAGAAAGGCACCAUUUUCACUAAUUUCCAUCACCGUGUGCAUGUGGAGUUUGGCCACAGCAAAGUAAAUCAGUUGCUAUCUUUGCAGCUACAAGAAGCAGAGAAUGAAUGGUAAUUCAUUUACACUCUAGGACCUUGGUUGCAGCCUCGUUAUCUCCAACGGCCUCCUUGUCAUCUCCAUUUGGAUAUCUAACAGACAUCUCAAGCUAAACUUGUGCAGACAGCAUUCCGGAACCUUCCACACACCCUUAUUCUACCCACAUGCUUUGUUGACAAACUCCAUUCUUCCAUUUGCUCAGGCCAAAAGCCUUGGCUCUUCCCUUGGUCUCAGAACCCACGUCCAAACGCACUGUCCGGGCCUGUCUGAUUGAUUUUUCUGGAUAUCAACUGCCCCAGCUCUAACAGAUCUCCAUCAAGUUUUUUCUACGACUUAGCAACACAUACCUAAGUUUCCCUGGGAACUUCUAGAAGGCAGCUCCUGUGGACUCUCAUCAUCUCCCACCCCAUCCCCCGCACAUGUGUAAAUAAAGAAACACCUUUAAAUUGUAACAGGCUAAACUUUCCCCUACAGGCCCAUGGGACGGUGGUCUGUGUGUCACAUAUGGACCAAGGCA